CAUUAAGUUAUCCGCCUGGGGAGUACGGCCGCAAGGUUAAAACUCAAAGGAAUUGACGGGGCUGCACAAGCGGUGGAGCAUGUGGUUUAAUUCGAAGCAACGCGCAGAACCUUACCAGCGUUUGACAUGGUAGGACGACUGGCAGAGAUGCCUUUCUUCCUUCGGGGACCUACACACAGGUGCUGCAUGGCUGUCGUCAGCUCGUGUCGUGUCAUGUGUGCUAAGUCCCGAACGAGCGCAACCCUCGACUUUAGUUACCAUCAUUAAGUUGGGUACUUUAAAGUACCGCCGGUGAUAAGCCGGAGGAAGGUGGGGAUGACGUCAAGUCCUCAUCCCACGCGCUGGGUACACCGUGCUACAAUGCAAGUCAGUGGGCAGCAAUCCCGCGAGGGUGAGUAAUCUCCAAAACUUGUCUCAGUUCGAUUUCUCUGCAACUCGGAGCAUGAAGGCGAUCGCUAGUAUCGCGAUCAGCAGGCU
This 477-nucleotide ribosomal RNA is filed under the name Sphingomonas sp. Its description in RNAcentral is "bacterial SSU rRNA". It matches the Rfam family "Bacterial small subunit ribosomal RNA", at positions 858 to 1358 of the family's 1533-position model. The record is from RNAcentral. Lineage: Bacteria; Pseudomonadati; Pseudomonadota; Alphaproteobacteria; Sphingomonadales; Sphingomonadaceae.